AUGGACGUCGAGCCGCUGGAGCGGCAUCGCGGCUACCGGGCCGAAAGUCAUGGACGUCGUGCCGUUGCGGCCGCGUUUGCCUGCGAGGCCACAUGCAGAAACGCAGGACGGCGCCGCUGUGGCACACGACGGCGAGCCGGUGCUGGACCGAAGGCCAUGGACGUCGUGCCGAUGGAUGGCAUCAUGGGCGCGUUCGCCUGCGGGGCCACGGGCAGCCAGGCCGGACGGCGCCACUGUGUCGCCCGUCGCGCGCGCCGAGUAGCGCUUCAUCGGAUGGCCUCGGGAUACUUCCGCGUCAGGGACGGCAGCGACGAGCCGAGGGUGCCGUGCGGAUCUGAGGACCGCGGCUGA
RNAcentral lists this ribosomal RNA (351 nucleotides) under Triticum aestivum (bread wheat). RNAcentral's name for it is "partial small subunit ribosomal RNA". Lineage: Eukaryota; Viridiplantae; Streptophyta; Magnoliopsida; Poales; Poaceae. The record is from RNAcentral.